CGUAGACUCCUACGGGAGGCAGCAGUGAGGAAUAUUGGUCAAUGGACGGAAGUCUGAACCAGCCAAGUAGCGUGCAGGAUGACGGCCCUAUGGGUUGUAAACUGCUUUUGUAUGGGGAUAAAGUUAGGGACGUGUCCCUAUUUGCAGGUACCAUACGAAUAAGGACCGGCUAAUUCCGUGCCAGCAGCCGCGGUAAUACGGAAGGUCCAGGCGUUAUCCGGAUUUAUUGGGUUUAAAGGGAGCGUAGGCUGGAGAUUAAGUGUGUUGUGAAAUGUAGACGCUCAACGUCUGAAUUGCAGCGCAUACUGGUUUCCUUGAGUACGCACAACGUUGGCGGAAUUCGUCGUGUAGCGGUGAAAUGCUUAGAUAUGACGAAGAACUCCGAUUGCGAAGGCAGCUGACGGGAGCGCAACUGACGCUUAAGCUCGAAGGUGCGGGUAUCAAACAGGAUUAGAUACCCUGGUAG
Molecule: ribosomal RNA, 466 nt
Filed under: uncultured bacterium
Lineage: Bacteria
Description: bacterial SSU rRNA
Rfam family: Bacterial small subunit ribosomal RNA
Source: RNAcentral